Molecule: ribosomal RNA, 658 nt
Filed under: uncultured fungus
Lineage: Eukaryota; Fungi
Description: eukaryotic LSU rRNA
Rfam family: Eukaryotic large subunit ribosomal RNA
Source: RNAcentral
CCCGCUGAACUUAAGCAUAUCAAUAAGCGGAGGAAAAGAAACUAACAAGGAUUCCCCUAGUAACUGCGAGUGAAGCGGGAAAAGCUCAAAUUUGAAAUCUGGCGGUUCUUGACCGUCCGAGUUGUAAUCUAGAGAAGUGUUACCUGUGCUGGACCGUGUAAAAGUCUUCUGGAAUGGAGCAUCAUAGAGGGUGAGAAUCCCGUCUUUGACACGGACUACCUGUACAUUAUGGUGCGCUCUCAAAGAGUCGAGUUGUUUGGGAAUGCAGCUCAAAAUGGGUGGUAAAUGCCAUCUAAAGCUAAAUAUUGGCGAGAGACCGAUAGCGAACAAGUACCGUGAGGGAAAGAUGAAAAGAACUUUGGAAAGAGAGUUAAACAGUACGUGAAAUUGCUGAAAGGGAAACGCUUGAAGUCAGUCGCGUUGGCUGGAAAUCAACCUUGCUCUUGCUUGGUGUACUUUCUGGUUGACGGGUCAGCAUCAAUUUUGACCGCUGGAUAAAGUCUUUGGGAAUGUGGCAUCUUAGGAUGUGUUAUAGCCCAUUGUCGUAUACGGUGGUUGGGAUUGAGGAACUCAGCACGCCGCAAGGCCGGGUAUUCGUACCACGUUCGUGCUUAGGAUGCUGGCAUAAUGGCUUUAAUCGACCCGUCUUGAAACACGG